RNAcentral lists this ribosomal RNA (429 nucleotides) under Bacillota bacterium. RNAcentral's name for it is "Firmicutes bacterium partial 16S ribosomal RNA". It matches the Rfam family "Bacterial small subunit ribosomal RNA", at positions 355 to 776 of the family's 1533-position model. Lineage: Bacteria; Bacillati; Bacillota. The record is from RNAcentral.
UGGGGAAUUUUGGACAAUGGGGGCAACCCUGAUCCAGCAAUGCCGCGUGUGUGAAGAAGGCCUUCGGGUUGUAAAGCACUUUUGUCCGGGAAGAAAUCGCACCUGAUAAUACCGGGUGUGGAUGACGGUACCGGAAGAAUAAGGACCGGCUAACUACGUGCCAGCAGCCGCGGUAAUACGUAGGGUCCAAGCGUUAAUCGGAAUUACUGGGCAUAAAGCGUGCGCAGGCGGUUGUGCAAGACCGAUGUGAAAUCCCCGGGCUUAACCUGGGAAUUGCAUUGGUGACUGCACGGCUAGAGUGUGUCAGAGGGGGGUAGAAUUCCACGUGUAGCAGUGAAAUGCGUAGAGAUGUGGAGGAAUACCGAUGGCGAAGGCAGCCCCCUGGGAUAACACUGACGCUCAUGCACGAAAGCGUGGGGAGCAAACAGG